AGAGUUUGAUCCUGGCUCAGGAUGAAUGUUGGCGGCGUGCCUGAGAUAUGCAAGUCGAACGUCCCGUUGCAAGACGGGAGUGGCGGACGGCUGAGUAACACGUAGGAAUCUUCCCCAAAAUAAGGGAUAGCUCGUCGAAAGACGGGGUAAUCCUUUAUGGUCCCCAACGCAAGGCGGGGUAAAGUAGGUAACUCUACGUUUUGGGAUGAGCCUGCGGCUUAUCAGGUAGUUGGUAGGGUAACGGCCUACCAAGCCUAUAACGAGUAGCUGGUCUUAGAGGAUGGUCAGCCAGAGGGGGACUGAGACACGGCCCCCACUCCUACGGGAGGCAGCAAUCAGGAAUAGUCGGCAAUGGGCGAAAGCCUGACCGCGCGACGCCGCGUGUAGGAAUAAGCUCUAAUCGAGCGUAAACUACUGUGGUAAGGGAAGAAGUUCCGACUUCGUCGGGAUUGACGGUACCUUACUAGAAAGGGGCCGCUAACUGCGUGCCAGAAGCGUCGGUAAUACGUGGGCCCCAAACAUUAUCCGGUUUUACUGGGUGUAAAAAGUAGUGUAGGUGUUCUUUUAAGUUUUGUUUCAAAUUCUACGGCCUAACCGUAGACAGGGGCAAAAUACUGAAAGAAUUGAGUUUUCUUUAGGGAGAUUGGAACUCAGGGAGGAGUAGUGAAAUGCGUUGAUACCCUGGGGAACACCAGUGGCGAAGGCGAAUCUCUGAAAGAUAACUGACACUGAGACACGAAAGCUAGGGGAGCGAAGCAGAUUAGAGACCUGCGUAGUCCUAGCUGUAAACGUAUGCUUGCUAGCCGCACUUGUCCAGCACCAUUCUUAUUAAGAAUCAUUUUUUAGAUUAACAGGAAUGGUGCUGGAUAGAUGUAGCGAAGGUAACCCGUUAAGCAAGCCACCUGGGGAGUACGGCCGCAAGGUUGAAACUCAAAGGAAUUGGCGGGGAGGCACACAACCAGUGGAACAUGUGGUUCAAUUCGAAACAAACCGAAGAACCUCACCAGGGUUUGACAUGAAAGAGUUCUAUCCCACAGAAACGUGGGAGAUUCGCAAGAAGGCUUUCACAGGUGCUGCAUGGCUGUCGUCAGCUCGUUCCGUGAGGAGUGCCCUUAAGUGGGACAACGAGCGCAACCCUCGUUUUGUGUUAAAUCUAUCACAAGAUACUGCCCUGACUUUUUUGGUCGGGGAGGAAGGAGAGGCAGACGUCAAGUCAGCAUGGUCCUUAUACCCUGGGCUACACACAUGUUACAAUGGAAAGAACAACGAGUAUUGCCAGACGGCAACGUCGAGCAAAUCUCUUAAAUCUUUCCUCAGUGGGGAUUGAGGUCUGCAACUCGACCUCAUGAACGCGGAAUUGGUAGUAAUCGCAGAUCAGCUAUGCUGCGGUGAAUACGUUCUUGCCUCUUGCACACACCGCCCGUCAAGCCAACAAAGUCGGGGACACUUGAACCUCGUGAUUUUUCACGGGGGAGGGUAUCGCCGGCGAUGGGGGUUAAGUCGUAACAAGGUAACC
This 1516-nucleotide ribosomal RNA is filed under the name uncultured bacterium. Its description in RNAcentral is "bacterial SSU rRNA". It matches the Rfam family "Bacterial small subunit ribosomal RNA". The record is from RNAcentral.